GAGUUUGAUCAUGGCUCAGAAUCAACGCUGGCGGCAUGCCUAACACAUGCAAGUCGAACGAAUUACCUUCGGGUAGUUAGUGGCGCACGGGUGCGUAACGCGUGGGAAUCUGCCCCUUGGUUCGGAAUAACAGUUGGAAGCGACUGCUAAUACCGGAUGAUGACGUAAGUCCAAAGAUUUAUCGCCGAGGGAUGAGCCCGCGUAGGAUUAGGUAGUUGGUGUGGUAAAGGCGCACCAAGCCGACGAUCCUUAGCUGGUCUGAGAGGAUGAUCAGCCACACUGGGACUGAGACACGGCCCAGACUCAUACGGGAGGCAGCAGUGGGGAAUAUUGGACAAUGGGCGAAAGCCUGAUCCAGCAAUGCCGCGUGAGUGAUGAAGGCCUUAGGGUUGUAAAGCUCUUUUACCCGGGAUGAUAAUGACAGUACCGGGAGAAUAAGCUCCGGCUAACUCCGUGCCAGCAGCCGCGGUAAUACGGAGGGGGCUAGCGUUAUUCGGAAUUACUGGGCGUAAAGCGCACGUAGGCGGCUUUGUAAGUAAGAGGUGAAAGCCCAGAGCUCAACUCUGGAAUUGCCUUUUAGACUGCAUCGCUUGAAUCAUGGAGAGGUCAGUGGAAUUCCGAGUGUAGAGGUGAAAUUCGUAGAUAUUCGGAAGAACACCAGUGGCGAAGGCGGCUGACUGGACAUGUAUUGACGCUGAGGUGCGAA
RNAcentral lists this ribosomal RNA (706 nucleotides) under uncultured bacterium. Its description in RNAcentral is "bacterial SSU rRNA". It matches the Rfam family "Bacterial small subunit ribosomal RNA", at positions 9 to 757 of the family's 1533-position model. The record is from RNAcentral.